Myotis myotis is the source of this 1958-nucleotide long non-coding RNA. RefSeq lists it as uncharacterized. The record is from RefSeq and is a predicted model, not a curated record. Lineage: Eukaryota; Metazoa; Chordata; Mammalia; Chiroptera; Vespertilionidae. The transcript is spliced from 2 exons.
UUUAUAUUUUUGAUAUUUUAUAUAUUUAAAUGCCAUUUAACAAAGAAAAAUCAACCAAAAAAAUGAGUUCACAUGUCACCUCUGACACACGUGUCAUAGGUUCGCCAUCACUGGGCUAGGGGAUUUUGACAAUGGGUUCUCACUAGCUGCUCCAACCCGGCUUGGUUCAGAAAUGAAAUGGUGCCAGUCAUGAGAGGGGCCAGGCAGGCACCCUAACGCUAUUGGGAGUAAGAGAACGGAUCCAGCUGAUGGGGCCCUGAGGGAAUGCAGGCCCAGGCAGCUGGAUGUUCCUAUUCUUUCUACCUGUUGGCAUGUGAGCUUCCUUUAGUCUCCCCUUUCUCUCACUUGGUUUAUAGUUUUUUGUUUUCCCCUUUCACCCUCUGCUCUGUGCUGGCCACUGGCUCACAGAUGAGCAAGACACCGCUCCCUCCAGGAGCUCAAGGACAGGUGGGGACCCCACUCAAGACUCAAUUCAGUGCCCAGAAUCUGGUAGGGGUUACCAACAGCCCACAACAAGCCCGUGAGACAGGGGGAGGUGGGAAGCAGCUUCUCAGACACUUGGAGGACUAUCAGGGACAGAGCAAGUGUCUGGUAAAGACGGCAUUGCCUAGCAAAGGUGGUGAGGUGCUUAAGUGUGGCUGGGGCAGAGGUGCCAGGGGUGUGGUUUGGGAGCAAGUAAGGCUGAAGAGAAAAUGGCCCAGACCCACCUGGUUUUGCAGGCCCCACAAGGAGUUUUGCUUCAUGCAGAGAUGACCAGGAGCAAUAAAGGGUUUAGGACAGAGGAAUGACAUGGUCAGAUCUGUAUUUUAGAAAUAUCCUUCUGACUACCAUCUGGCCUUGGGGGUUACGUACGAAGUGGAGACAGGGAGACAAGUGGGGAGGUUGCAGUAAGCCAGGCAGGUGAUUGGUGGUGUCCUAGGCUGGGGGAGCCAAUAGGAGGUGGAGAGGAAGAGGAACACAGCUGUCUGUCAGGCCCUGUUCUAAGCACAAUAGGUAGGUGUAUUACCUCAUGUAACCCUCCAAACAACUCUUGGAGAUACUAUUAUUCAUUUUACAAGUAAGGAACCGAGGCUUGGAGAGACUCGGGAACAGUAGUGGGAGAGGGGAAGAGCUUGCUGAUGGGUGAUGAGAGGAGGAAGCAGAAGGGAUCUGCGGGGUUCCAGUCUCUGGCUCCAUAAGAUGAGAGUGCCACCCACGAGACCCCAGCCACAGAAGAGGAUGGGCUGAGGGGUGGAGAAGAGGAGUUUGGUUUGGACAUGUCACCUGGGGGUCUGGGGGCAUCCAAGCAGAGUUGUCCCCUGCAGAGUUGGACAUUUAUUCGGGCCUGAGGCUCCAGGAGAAGAUGAGCUGAAAGUGGAGAUUUGAGGAUCAUGGCACAGCUGUAGUGCUUGAAACCAUGGACAUGGACAAGCUUGCCAGGGAGCAUGUGCCUUGACUUUAAUUAAGCUCAGAGCGUCAGUAACAGAAUCCUACCAAGAACUUACAAACUACAGCAACCUCAACUAUCCAGAAUUCUCGGAAAAAGAGCCACUCUGGAAAACCAACAUUUAUCUGGAUAAAAAUACUUGACGUACAGGAUUACUUACUUUUUUAAAUGUGCUUAUUAUGGAAAUUAUCAAACAGAAAAGUCAAGGGAAGAAUAUAAUGAACCUACCAUCCAACCUGAAGAGUUAUCGAUUCAAGGUCACACGCUGUGCCAUCCACACACCCAUGGUCUGGGGUAUUUGGAAGCAGAUCCUAGACACUAUAUCGAUUCCUUCAGAAAGCUUUGGUACAUUUCUCCAAAAGACAAGACUUUUUAAAAAUAUAACCACAAUAUUCUUACUUCAAAAUAUUUAACAAUAAUUUCUUAAUUUAAUCCAAUAUCCAUCGUCCAAAUCUCCCCAAUUGUCUCAUUCACUCCUCCACCCCCCUUUAGUUGGUUAAAAUUAGGCUUCAAACAAGGUUUACAUAUUGCA